AACGUCCUUUCAGCAGUGAAGGAAGGUGGGUUAUGUUAAUAGCAUAUUCAUUUGACGUUAGCUGCAGAGGAAGCCCCGGCUAACUCCGUGCCAGCAGCCGCGGUAAUACGGAGGGUGCGAGCGUUAAUCGGAAUUACUGGGCGUAAAGCGCAUGCAGGUGGUUUGUUAAGUCAGAUGUGAAAGCCCGGGGCUCAACCUCGGAAUUGCAUUUGAAACUGGCAAACUAGAGUACUGUAGAGGGGGGUAGAAUUUCAGGUGUAGCGGUGAAAUGCGUAGAGAUCUGAAGGAAUACCGGUGGCGAAGGCGGCCCCCUGGACAGAUACUGACACUCAGAUGCGAAAGCGUGGGGAGCAAACAGGAUUAGAUACCCUGGUAGUCCACGCCGUAAACGAUGUCUACUUGGAGGUUGUGGCCUUGAGCCGUGGCUUUCGGAGCUAACGCGUUAAGUAGACCGCCUGGGGAGUACGGUCGCAAGAUUAAAACUCAAAUGAAUUGACGGGGGCCCGCACAAGCGGUGGAGCAUGUGGUUUAAUUCGAUGCAACGCGAAGAACCUUACCUACUCUUGACAUCUACAGAAGCCAGCGGAGACGCAGGUGUGCCUUCGGGAACUGUAAGACAGGUGCUGCAUGGCUGUCGUCAGCUCGUGUUGUGAAAUGUUGGGUUAAGUCCCGCAACGAGCGCAACCCUUAUCCUUGUUUGCCAGCACUUCGGGUGGGAACUCCAGGGAGACUGCCGGUGAUAAACCGGAGGAAGGUGGGGACGACGUCAAGUCAUCAUGGCCCUUACGAGUAGGGCUACACACGUGCUACAAUGGCGCAUACAGAGGGCGGCCAACUUGCGAAAGUGAGCGAAUCCCAAAAAGUGCGUCGUAGUCCGGAUUGGAGUCUGCAACUCGACUCCAUGAAGUCGGAAUCGCUAGUAAUCGUGGAUCAGAAUGCCACGGUGAAUACGUUCCCGGGCCUUGUACACACCGCCCGUCACACCAUGGGAGUGGGCUGCAAAAGAAGUGGGUAGUUUAACCUUCGGGAGGACGCUCACCACUUUGUGGUUCAUGACUGGGGUGAAGUCGUAACAAGGUAACCG
RNAcentral lists this ribosomal RNA (1084 nucleotides) under uncultured bacterium. RNAcentral describes it as "bacterial SSU rRNA". It matches the Rfam family "Bacterial small subunit ribosomal RNA", at positions 427 to 1502 of the family's 1533-position model. The record is from RNAcentral.